This 460-nucleotide ribosomal RNA is filed under the name uncultured bacterium. RNAcentral's name for it is "partial 16S ribosomal RNA". It matches the Rfam family "Bacterial small subunit ribosomal RNA", at positions 338 to 795 of the family's 1533-position model. The record is from RNAcentral.
CCUACGGGGUGCAGCAGUGAGGAAUAUUGGUCAAUGGACGAGAGUCUGAACCAGCCAAGUCGCGUGAAGGAAGACUGCCCUAUGUGUUUUAACCUUCUUUUAUAUGGGAAUAAAAUGUUCUACGUGUGUGAUUUUGUAUGGAUCAUAUGAAUAAGGAUCGGCUAACUCCGUGCCAGCAGCCGCGGUAAUACGGAGGAUCCGAGCGUUAUCCGGAUUUAUUGGGUUUAAAGGGAGCGUAGGUGGUUUGUUAAGUCAGUUGUGAAAGUUUGCGGCUCAACCGUAAAAUUGCAGUUGAAACUGGCAGUCUUGAGUACAGUAGAGGUGGGCGGAAUUCGUGGUGUAGCGGUGAAAUGCUUAGAUAUCACGAAGAACUCCGAUUGCGAAGGCAGCUCACUGGACUGCAACUGACACUGAGGCUCGAAAGUGUGGGUAGCAAACAGGAUUAGAUACCCUGGUAGUC